GCUUCUGGAAGGUUUUGGACGGAACAUCCGACCUCAAGAGUGCCAUGGCAACAAAUUGACGUAUAUGAUAAUGAGGUGAAAUCAUAAAUACACUAACCUAUAGAAAAUGGACACCUUAACAUUGUACCUACAGACCAACUUUAUGAGGAUAUAAGCCUACCCUAUGCUUAUAACAACCAAAACAGCUUGUUGACAAAACAGACCAAGAUCAGCCGUGCUACUCCAAGAAACUAUAAUAAAGGGAAGGAGGGCUUCUUUGGAGACAAUG
This is a long non-coding RNA of Mauremys reevesii (Reeves's turtle), 268 nucleotides long. RefSeq lists it as uncharacterized. The transcript is spliced from 2 exons. Lineage: Eukaryota; Metazoa; Chordata; Testudines; Geoemydidae. The record is from RefSeq and is a predicted model, not a curated record.